AAUAAGUGGUUUUUAUUUCAUUUUUGGACUCCUUUUUCACCCCUAACAAAUAUCUAAUAUCCUACUAUAACAGAAACUAGGAUUUGCCAUUUAAGAUAUAACAGUUGCGUCCCAUAAACCGAGAGAGAGAGAGAGAGAGUUUUGAUUUCACCUCCUCUAACACAAGCUGCCACACCACUUGGAUCUUCUUCUUCCCAACACCAAUACCACCAUACACAAAACCUUAUUCUAAC
This 233-nucleotide long non-coding RNA is filed under the name Lathyrus oleraceus (garden pea). RNAcentral's name for it is "Pisum sativum (pea) long non-coding RNA (PSAT_LNC016407)". The record is from RNAcentral. Lineage: Eukaryota; Viridiplantae; Streptophyta; Magnoliopsida; Fabales; Fabaceae.